AUUCUGGCAACUGAACGUUGGCAGUAAACGCAGCUUAGUUGUCUCAGAGGACUCACAAUGGGAUGUGUUUAUAGUUGUUUCCUCGAAGUGUGUUGUGACGAGGAUCAAAUAGUGUAUCCUAAGAUGCCAGGGGAAUCCACCGUCUGCCACCGCGAGCGUGAGAAGCCAAUCACCUAUCACUGGCAUCACUGGCAUCCCGGCCAUAUAUACCCUAGAAUUGCAUCAAUGGAAGAUUACGAUGAGGACCUGGUGCAGGAAGCUUCAUCUGAAGAUGUCCUGGGCGUUCAUAUGGUGGACAAAGACACAGAGAGAGACAGUACGUAUUCUGGAAUCACCCCUAUGCUGAGGAAAAAUUCUAGUGUUGACAAAGGUGACACUUUCUUGCCUCAUUUUUUCUGGAGAGCCACUCUGGUUUGAACUUCCUGCCAGAAAUGUGGUUCAAGCACUUUUGUCUUGACAAGUGAAGAACCUGGUCAAGAAAUGUGACCGUUGACUCUGGUGCUUGGAAGGAACAGGGUCAUUUGGAUAGAAG
RNAcentral lists this small RNA (532 nucleotides) under Pan troglodytes (chimpanzee). RNAcentral describes it as "retained intron". Lineage: Eukaryota; Metazoa; Chordata; Mammalia; Primates; Hominidae. The record is from RNAcentral.